RNAcentral lists this ribosomal RNA (281 nucleotides) under uncultured prokaryote. RNAcentral describes it as "partial 16S ribosomal RNA". It matches the Rfam family "Bacterial small subunit ribosomal RNA", at positions 524 to 803 of the family's 1533-position model. The record is from RNAcentral.
UACGUAGGGGGCUAGCGUUAUCCGGAAUUACUGGGCGUAAAGGGUGCGUAGGUGGUUUCUUAAGUCAGAGGUGAAAGGCUACGGCUCAACCGUAGUAAGCCUUUGAAACUGGGAAACUUGAGUGCAGGAGAGGAGAGUGGAAUUCCUAGUGUAGCGGUGAAAUGCGUAGAUAUUAGGAGGAACACCAGUUGCGAGGGCGGCUCUCUGGACUGUAACUGACACUGAGGCACGAAAGCGUGGGGAGCAAACAGGAUUAGAUACCCGCGUAGUCCCUGAGCGGG